AUGAAUAUUGCCCUCCUCUCCAAAUGGCUUUGGCGAAUUCAGAUCGAUGAGGGCGGCCUGUGGCUGGAGAUUAUCCGCGCGAAGUACCUUCGCGGGCAACCGCUGGCCUUCGCCCCUAGAUCUGAAGGGUCCCAAUUCUGGCAAUCGGUGAUCCGUCUGAUGCCGGUCUUGCGCAUUGGGACCUCCAUUAAAGUGGGCACCGGGUCCGGCACCCUAUUCUGGCUUGAUAGGUGGGCUGGGACCCGUCCCUUUGCGGAACGCUCUUACACGUUAUUCUCGAUCUGUGCCCGCCCAUAG
This 297-nucleotide ribosomal RNA is filed under the name Triticum aestivum (bread wheat). RNAcentral describes it as "partial small subunit ribosomal RNA". Lineage: Eukaryota; Viridiplantae; Streptophyta; Magnoliopsida; Poales; Poaceae. The record is from RNAcentral.